GUAGGUGGCAAGCGUUGUCCGGAUUUACUGGGCGUAAAGGGCGCGCAGGCGGCUCGUCAAGUCUGGGGUGAAAUCUCCCGGCUCAACCGGGAGAGGUCUCUGGAUACUGACGGGCUUGAGGAAAGCAGAGGAGAGCGGAAUUCCAGGUGUAGCGGUGAUAUGCGUAGAUAUCUGGAGGAACACCAGUGGCGAAGGCGGCUCUCUGGGCUUUUCCUGACGCUGAGGCGCGAAAGCGUGGGGAGCGAACCGGGAUUAGAUACCCGGGUAGUCCACGCCGUAAACGUUGGGCACUAGGUGUGGGAGGUAUUGACCCCCUUCCGUGCCGCAGUUAACGCGAUAAGUGCCCCGCCUGGGGAGUACGGCCGCAAGGCUA
Molecule: ribosomal RNA, 373 nt
Filed under: uncultured organism
Description: partial 16S ribosomal RNA
Rfam family: Bacterial small subunit ribosomal RNA
Source: RNAcentral